Long non-coding RNA from Passer montanus (Eurasian tree sparrow), 446 nucleotides. RefSeq lists it as uncharacterized. Lineage: Eukaryota; Metazoa; Chordata; Aves; Passeriformes; Passeridae. The transcript is spliced from 3 exons. The record is from RefSeq and is a predicted model, not a curated record.
GUGCCCGCGGUUGUUCCCGCCCGCGAUGCCGAAGCGGAGGCUGUCGGAGCCCGGCCGGCCGGGAGCCGCCGCCGUGGCCAUGCGGAACAGCGGCGCCGGAGUCUGGAGCUUGGAGGGAAGAGGGAGGAUUUCCCUGCUCCAGGAACAUGCCCACAGCCACAGUGGGGUCAUCUUCAAGGAGCUGCAGACCCAAAGUGUCGCUCCAUCAUCCAGAGAGGGAUUCUUUUGAAGCACUCUGGUGGAGUUUUCCCUUCCCCAGCACAACCCUGGGAUUCAUUUCCCCACCCAGCUCCACAUCCAGCUGGAGCUCCUGCCAAUCCAAACAUCCUCCAUCCGCUGCCAUCCUGCAAAGCAUCGCUCCAUCAUCCCCCUCCCCUCUACACCAGCCUUUCCCUUGGAUAUGGAAAAAAAAGUGGGGGAAAAUGGCAGAGCACUUGGGACCAAGG